GGAGAUGUAGCUCACUAGUAGAGCAUAAGCUUUGCAUGCAUAAGGCCCUGGGUUUGAUCCCCAAUAUCAUAA
This 72-nucleotide transfer RNA is filed under the name Ictidomys tridecemlineatus (thirteen-lined ground squirrel). RNAcentral describes it as "Spermophilus tridecemlineatus (thirteen-lined ground squirrel) tRNA". It matches the Rfam family "tRNA". Rfam says of the family: Transfer RNA (tRNA) molecules are approximately 80 nucleotides in length. Their secondary structure includes four short double-helical elements and three loops (D, anti-codon, and T loops). Further hydrogen bonds mediate the characteristic L-shaped molecular structure. tRNAs have two regions of fundamental functional importance: the anti-codon, which is responsible for specific mRNA codon recognition, and the 3' end, to which the tRNAs corresponding amino acid is attached (by aminoacyl-tRNA synthetases). tRNAs cope with the degeneracy of the genetic code in two manners: having more than one tRNA (with a specific anti-codon) for a particular amino acid; and 'wobble' base-pairing, i.e. permitting non-standard base-pairing at the 3rd anti-codon position. Lineage: Eukaryota; Metazoa; Chordata; Mammalia; Rodentia; Sciuridae. The record is from Rfam by way of RNAcentral.